GACAGAGGGUGCAAACGUUGUUCGGAAUUACUGGGCGUAAAGCGCGUGUAGACGGCCGGGUAAGUCGGGCGUGAAAGCCCACGGCUCAACCGUGGAAGUGCACUCGAAACUACUUGGCUAGAGUCCUGGAGAGGAAGGCGGAAUGCUUGGUGUAGAGGUGAAAUUCGUAGAUAUCAAGCAGAACACCUGCGGCGAAGGCGGCCUUCUGGACGAUGACUGACGCUGAGACGCGAAAGCGUGGGGAGCAAACAGG
RNAcentral lists this ribosomal RNA (253 nucleotides) under uncultured bacterium. RNAcentral's name for it is "partial 16S ribosomal RNA". It matches the Rfam family "Bacterial small subunit ribosomal RNA", at positions 524 to 776 of the family's 1533-position model. The record is from RNAcentral.